UCAAGAACCACACAGCAGAUUGAUAUCCAGAUCACUACAAGUGAUAGCUAGCACAACCUCAGUUUUGCUUUUGGGUUAUGGACUUUUGGGUUAGAAAUGAUUGAUGGUGGUUGUGAAAAAGAUAGUUGAUGUAUAGGCAAUACACUAAUGCACACAUUGUCUAUUUAUAUCCCCUAUUUGAAUCCCUUUUUAAUCCAAAAACUAGUUUAUGUGUAGACCAAAAAGACAAGUUCAAUUAUAGUCUUCAUGUUUUGAAAUCUCGUGACACAUUCACAUGUUGGUAAAUAUACAAAUCGGUAACUCUACAUUUUAGUCAAAAAAACACUAAUCUUCUUCUUCUCCAAAAAACCAAAAUACAUAAACCAGAACUAUAUCUUUUUUUCUCCACAAAACCAAAACAAAUGAACCAAAACCAUAUCUUUCUUUUCUCCACAAAAUCAAAACACAAAAACCAAACACACAUAUAUUCAAUCAAAACACAUAAUAACCAAAACACUUAACCAAAACACAUAAUUUUUUAAACCAAAACACGAUAAUUAUGAAC
This 544-nucleotide long non-coding RNA is filed under the name Arabidopsis lyrata. RNAcentral's name for it is "long non-coding RNA (ALYR_LNC000945)". The record is from RNAcentral. Lineage: Eukaryota; Viridiplantae; Streptophyta; Magnoliopsida; Brassicales; Brassicaceae.